RNAcentral lists this ribosomal RNA (417 nucleotides) under uncultured spirochete Nn415. Its description in RNAcentral is "bacterial SSU rRNA". It matches the Rfam family "Bacterial small subunit ribosomal RNA", at positions 1082 to 1497 of the family's 1533-position model. The record is from RNAcentral. Lineage: Bacteria; Pseudomonadati; Spirochaetota; Spirochaetia; Spirochaetales.
AAGUCCCGCAACGAGCGCAACCCCUACUGCCAGUUACUAGCAGGCUAUGCUGAGGACUCUGGCGGAACUGCCGGUGACAAACCGGAGGAAGGUGGGGAUGACGUCAAGUCAUCAUGGCCCUUAUGUCCAGGGCUACACACGUGCUACAAUGGGCGGCACAAAGCGAUGCGAAGCCGCGAGGCAAGAGCGAAACGCGAAAGCCGCCCGUAGUUCGGAUUGAAGUCUGAAACCCGACUUCAUGAAGUUGGAAUCGCUAGUAAUCGCGCAUCAGCAUGGCGCGGUGAAUACGUUCCCGGGCCUUGUACACACCGCCCGUCACACCAUCCGAGUUGGAGGUACCCGAAGCCGGUAGCCUAACCGCAAGGGGGGCGCUGUCGAAGGUACGUUUAGUGAGGAGGGUGAAAGUCGUAACAAGGU